Molecule: non-coding RNA, 3793 nt
Organism: Phoenix dactylifera (date palm)
Lineage: Eukaryota; Viridiplantae; Streptophyta; Magnoliopsida; Arecales; Arecaceae
Source: RefSeq, a predicted model, not a curated record
AUUUAAGAAAUUAUUAAAAAAACGCAGACGACCCGCUUGUCUUCCUUCCCAAGAAUUCCCAUCAUCAAACGCCAAGGAGAACGAGGGAGGGAAAGAGAGGAGACGAGAGAAGAAGAGAAGAGGAAAUCUCGAAGAGAUCGAAGAGAAGGCAGGAGUAAUGGCGGAAGGUGAGGAGAAGAGUGAGGGAGGGGGAGAGGAGGGUGGAGGAGAGAGAGGAGAAAGCGUGAAGCUUUUUGUGGGGCAGGUGCCGAAGGACAUGACGGAGGCGCAGCUCCUGGCGAUGUUUAAGGAGGUCGCGCUUGUCGACGAGGUUAACAUCAUCAAGGACAAGACCACCAGGGCCUCCCGAGGGUGCUGCUUCUUGGUCUGCCCGUCGAGGCAGGAGGCCGACAAGGCGGUCAGUGCCUGCCACAACAAGCGGACGAUCCCCGGCGCCUCUAGUCCAUUGCAAGUGAAGUAUGCAGAUGGUGAGCUGCAAAGACUAGAACACAAACUUUUCGUUGGUAUGCUUCCAAAGAAUGUAACUGAGGCCGAAGUUUCUGUCCCGUUUUCAAAAUAUGGUAACAUUAAAGACCUACAAAUCUUGAGAGGUUCCCAACAAACAAGCAAAGGCUGUGCCUUUUUAAAGUAUGAAACUAAAGAUCAAGCUCUUGCAGCCCUUGAGGCCUUAAAUGGGAAAUACAGAAUGGAGGGUUCAAGCAUGCCUUUGGUUGUUAAAUGGGCUGACACACAGAAGGAAAGGCAAAAUCGAAGGACACAAAAAGCUCAAUCUCAGGCGUUCAAUCAUCCAAAUACCAACUCAAUACAGCAGCCUUCAUUAUUUGGAGCUUUACCAAUGGGGUACAUUCCUUCGUAUAAUGGUUUUGGCUAUCAGCCAACUGGAACUUACGGACUCAUGCAGUACCCUUUAGCUUCAAUGCAAAAUCAAGCUUCCUUCAAUAAUAUGAUUCCACCUGUUAAUCAAGGAAAUGCAAUAUGUGGAAUCAGUUCGGAUCUUUCCCCAGGCAUGGUACCCAGGAAUUUUGUGACAAUGCAAUCUGCUGGUUAUAUGGGCUCGGGUUAUCCUACCAUGACAAGUGUUCGAUACCCUCUAGCCUAUCCAAGUGGUAUGAUAAGCCACAGGCCUUUUGGCAAUUCCCAUGGUUCGGUCCAACCAGUAAAUACUAAGAGUAAUCUAGCAUCAUGUUCAAGCACCAGUACAAGUUCCAGGGGUCAAGUAGAAGGUCCUCCUGGAGCUAACUUAUUUAUAUAUCAUAUCCCCCAAGAAUUUGGCGACCAGGAGCUUUCAAAUGCCUUCCAGGGAUUUGGCAGGGUUUUGAGUGCUAAAGUUUUUAUUGACAAGGCAACUGGUGUUAGUAAAUGCUUCGGUUUUGUAAGUUAUGAUUCACCUGUUGCUGCUCAGGCUGCUAUAAAUGCAAUGGAUGGUUUCCAAUUAGGUGGUAAAAAGCUUAAGGUGCAGCUUAAGAGAGACAACAAGCAGAGCAAACCUUACUGAUGCUGGAAAUUCUCUGUAAGGAAACAAAAUUUCCUACAUUAUCUGGUCCCUUCCAAUUUCAGAAUUUUAUGAUUGCAAGGUCAGCAAUACAAUUCAAGCUGGAUGGAAGAUAAUUCAUCAUUUUAUACUUUGCUCCAUCCCAUCAUGUCUGAAGAAAACUCUAAGAUGCCUUCUUUUUAGUGGUUAUUCAGCACAGGGUUCAGCUGUUUUGGGUCAAAGUUGCCUGCUAAUUUCCAGUGACCUUAUAUCACUACAUUUGGAGGUCUUCCAGGCAAUCUGCGAAAAAAUUUGGCUAUUGGUGCACCAGGGGAAAUUGUCUUCGUAACUAAAGAUCUCACAACGUUCUGUUGUUUCUGCAAGAGGUUGCAAGACCUGAUUUUCUGGUAGUUUGAGAUAACAGGCUUCCCUUGCAACCAGGUCAUGUGGCACCUUGAUGAAGCUGAGCUUUCCACUACAAACUGGAAAAUGCUGAAUAUAUUGGGUUUUACCUAUUUACUCUGUCCAGCAUCUUGCUGACAAAGGCAUGCAUAACCAAUCACUAAGGGACUUUGCUAGGUGCAAGCCUAUGACAGGAAGCUAAUGGAUGGAUACAGAGAAUCAUGUACCUUAUUGAUAGCUAAACAGCCUAUAUUCACCAGGAAAUUUUGGCAUAAGACGAGCAUGAUGAAUUAGCUAUUGGUGCCCCGUUCUUCAUGGCACAUAUCAUGUGAUGGACCAGCACCAGCAAUUGCAAAGUUUGUACAUUAGUUCCCACAUCACUUCCCUGGCGGUAACCAGUAUCUGGAAGCGAGUUUUGAGGUCUACCGUCUCUCAAUUCUGGUAGGGGGUUCUUCGCUGCGGUAAUUUUUUUCUAUUCUGGCAUCAAUUUUUAUUUUGGGGAUGUCUCUUUGAUCCAUCUUUGGCAGGACACAUGGUGUGGGCGUGGUUGACUCUUUUGUGUUUCAGCUCAACAACAUUGCCUUGUGCAUGACUACUCGCAGAUAGCAGUUAGGAAACAACGGACUUCGAUUUAAAGUCAUGUUGGAAGGGGAGUUGGCAGUGCAAGCAAUACAGCUAGAAGAUCUUCUACAGGGUGCUUGGAAUGGUCGUGGGAAUGACAAAGUAAUAUGACACCAGAAUAAUGCUAGAGAAAUCAGAACCAGAGUUGCUUGCAAGAUUUUAACAUAUAUCGGUCUUCAUGCUCAGUUUGCAAGGCAUCUUUGGCGCAUACCUUUACCUUCAGAAGGCUCUGAUUUUCUCUUGGCUUGCCAUUCAGAAUAAAAUCUUGAAAGUACAAAAUAAAUUUGCCAAAAAGAAAGUUCUAUAUACAUUUCUUAUGCCCUCUAUGUCGCCAGUCUGAUGAAACUCCUGAUCAUCUUCUGCUACACAGUGAGACUCAGUUUUCUAGCAGGAUAUGGCUCUAUUAUGGAUUAGAAGAUGGGAGUGUUUAAUCGCCUUGCUAGUUUGAGGAGCUAUGGACAACAUGGAGAGUUAGAUGGAUAAAACUUUCAUGGCAUAGAGGAUGGGAUGUGCUUGCAGUGGUGAUAAGCUGGAGCAGAUGGUGAGAGAGAAAUAAUCGGGUUUCGGAGACAGCUGAAAUGGCAUAUCAAGUGAUGAACCAGAAUAGGGGGCUGGUGAGCAGCUCGUUCGUCGGUGCUAAUGAUAGGAAAUCAAGGUUUGUUUUUCCUGCUUUGAAUCUGUUAAAGUUUUGUAAAUCUUCAUAAUCUCCUUGCUUUUAGCCCAGGCUAGAAGCUUGUGUUGUUUGCUGCUUCAUACUUCAAUAAAUUGGAUUGGGCUCUGCCCAAUUCUUUCCAAAAAACAGAAAAUUAGAAAGAAAAAAAACUAGUUCUCACUGCACCUUCCUACUAAAGUACUAAUACUAUUCCCUUGAAUUUUUACAUGGGGAAAUUGGCAUUCAACAAUCUUGAAUAGGAGGUUCAUCAUCAUGAAGUGAGAAUGGCAAAUAUACCCUUGCAAAUAAAGAUUAAGAGAGAAUUGAAAGACUUGGAAUUGAAGGUUAGAUCUCAUUCAAUCAAACUAGAGCCACGGAAAUUUAAAUUUCACAAGGGUCAAAAGCAUGGCUGGAAAUGUAACAAGCCUACCUAUUGACUUUAGGGACGAAAUCUCAUGUUCAUUAUGUUAGUCAUUUACUCAUUUGCUUCAUAGUCUCAGUAUAGAGCACAGAAAAAAAAGCACAAUAAUUGAGUUUUAUUUUUCCCCUUCAGACAAGAUUCAGAGAAAAAUGAAAAAAGAACAAGAAAAGUAAAAAAAGAAAGAAAGAAAGAAAAAUGCAUCGAAACGAAGAGCCAUGAUCUUGGA